GCCAGGCAUGGUGGUGCAUGCCUGUAAUCUCAGAGGCUGGGGAGGCUGAGACAGGAGUAUCUCCAGUUCAAAGCUAGCUUCAGCAAAGGUGAGGUGCUAAGCAACUCAGUGAGACCUGUCUCUA
This 124-nucleotide small RNA is filed under the name Marmota monax (woodchuck). Lineage: Eukaryota; Metazoa; Chordata; Mammalia; Rodentia; Sciuridae. The record is from RNAcentral.